This 492-nucleotide ribosomal RNA is filed under the name uncultured bacterium. Its description in RNAcentral is "partial 16S ribosomal RNA". It matches the Rfam family "Bacterial small subunit ribosomal RNA", at positions 29 to 507 of the family's 1533-position model. The record is from RNAcentral.
AGUGAACGCUGGCGGUAGGCCUAACACAUGCAAGUCGAACGGCAGCUCAGUAAGAGCUUGCUCUCACGUGUGGCGCGUGGCGGACGGUUGCGGUAUGCAUCGGAAUCUACUUUUUCGGGGGGGCUAACGUAGGGUAACUUACGCUAAUACAGCAUUUGACGUCCGGGUGAAAGCCGGGGAUCUUCUGGCCUUUCGCGAUGGAAUAAGCCGAUGUCGGUUUAGCUAGUUGGCGGGGUAAUGGCCCACCAAGGCCACGAGCCGUAUCUGAUCUGAGGGGGUGAUCCGCCACCCUGGAACUGAGACACGGCCCAGACUCCUACGGGAGGCCGCGGUGGGGAAUCUUGGGCAAGGGGGGCAAGCCGGAUCCAGCCCUACCGCGGGGGUGAAGAAGGCCUUCGGGUGGUAAAGCCCUUUUGUUGGGAAAGAAAAGCAGCAGGUUAAUACCGCGCUAUUCUGACGGUACCCAAAGAAUAAGCACCGGCUAACUUCGUG